Molecule: long non-coding RNA, 4368 nt
Organism: Scatophagus argus
Lineage: Eukaryota; Metazoa; Chordata; Actinopteri; Scatophagidae
Exons: 4
Source: RefSeq, a predicted model, not a curated record
UACCCACAAUGCGUCUGUCUGUUUACGCACGGGACACCUGAAACUGAGCGGCAGGCCUACCUGUAGUUUCGGCUGGAGUGUGGCUGAAGUGAUAAGCACGCUACAAAGGCUUUUGAAAUACGAGUUGGGGGUUACUAAUUCGACGAGGAGACGCACAAGAAACAAGGAUCAGAGCUGGCUGCAAACACGCUGUGACCGUAGCUGUUACUGUGGCCUCCAUCCGCUUUUGGCAGCUCACCCUCCUCAUCCUGGCAUGUGUUCCCUUCCUGUCUGAGGCCAAUUUCAUCCAAAUGAGGGCAGCGGCAGGACAUUCCUUUGAGAACCAGGAGUUCUAACAAGCGGAAAGCAUGUGGGCUCUGACAAGAUGUCCUCCAGUACUGCAACAAAAUGAGACAUCGUCCGCGUUGGAGAGCAGGAGGGAGGUUGGAAAGAGCAGAUGUCCGUCUGCAGUGCGAGCUGCCAAGUGGGUCCGGAGUGGGGCAGCCACAGACACAAGGGCCCAAAUGGUGUGACAAAAGAUGUGCAGGAAGCCCCUCUUCGCCUGGGUGAGCCACAGAGAGGGUCUCCCCUCUCUGCCAGCCUGCAGGGACGCUCGCAACACGAGCCAGAGUGGUGGCAGCAAAGCCAUGUGUUACCGGCUGGGCUGCACGGUACGCCGACACUCAUAUUCACACAAACAUAGAUACACAUGCAUAUGCAGGAAUGUGCAAAUUCAGGCCAAUCCCACCCCCCGUCGCCAUCAGCGCACGCUCACACCUGCGCGUUGCACUCAGCAUAAAAUGUACACACAUUAAUGGUUUUUCUGAAACCUUCAUAUAGUUACCCAGUCAGAUAUUUUCAUUAUUUAUCUUUCAAAUGAGCAGCUGUCAAUAAUGCAAAACGUGGUGACAUGAUUGUUAAUGAUAAACAUAACAGAAACAACAGUAAACAAACACAAACCACUCUAUCUAUCUGUCUAUCUAGCUAGUAUUUUACCCAACUCGGAGCUGGUGUGUCAUUUUUCCUUUGCCCAUAAGGUCAUGAAAAGUGGGUAAAAAGGCCUUGAAAGUGUUCCAAGCACAGGUGUGCAGCAUGGCCUGCACUGAAGGGGUGCACUGAACCAUAAACAAUGAUAUAAAUGUCUGGCAAAUAAAAUGGCUAGUUAACAAUCUUUUGACUGCUCUAACCUCUGAGCCUUUGUCGGGUAUCGAUCAGCCAGCUGUUCCUGGCUUUGUCUGGCAGGACGGGAGCCUCUGGUUCCUCCUGGGAUGAAUGGAGAGAGCCGCCAAAAAAACUCUCAUCUGCUUUUCAAGUUGCGCCUGUCAGGAGCAAAAGUCUAAACAAGACGCUGAUCAUCGCCUCCCAUAGGUCAACAUUUAUGUAUUUAUUACAUUCACAUAAAAUAAAAUCAUAAAAUGAGCUUGCCAGGCUCCUCAGGCUGUUUUAAAGCUUUAAUUUUAACAUUGCUUAUUAUAUUUAACAACCCUGGCACUGGCUUCUUUGUUCAUAGUUGCCAUGUUGUUGGUUUACAUGGAAACCAUGUAAAUGGUAAUUUGGACGGGCAUAAUUUGUCUCCCUAUAUUAAGAUAAUUGUAUGUUAAAUAACGUACAUCCUCAGAAUUGCAGUGGGUGUCAUGUGAUGGGUCUUGUCACGCAAAUAUGUCAAGACAGGGUGAUAAUGGUCCGUCUCAGCAGCUGUCAGUCAAAGAGCAGCAGCAAUGACACUCCAGAACUCUGUAGCUCAGGUUUUAUGGUGGCUGCCAGUGCUGCCGUCCUGCUCCCAAGUCUGUCUAACUAUUAAGAAAAUAUAGUUUAGGCGUAUAAUUCAUCCAGGCAGUUGUUGGAUAGUCUUGCUGGAUGUUAUGAUCUCCAUUUCCCAGGCCACUUGUUUGCCUGGCUGAGGUGAUAGAUUGCAGUGUUUCAAACGCAGGCUGUGUAUACGUAACAGAGAUAACAGUGUAUUUUGAUGCCAUUUGCCUUGACUGCUACAUCCGUGGGCCAUGAGGUCUUCUUAUUGACUUUCAGCGAGUCCAACAUUGCACUUUGUCAGAGUGAGCGGCAGUCUAAGAGACAGGCGGGCGAGGCAGUCAUACAAAGUGAAGUACUUAGGAUUAGCCCUGGCUCUUCAAGUUUCAGUAAUUAUCCUCCUGGAGGCAUUCUUGCUGUGUUGGAUAAUAAUGGAAGUCCGGGUGCACGCCUGUCACCUCUCAAGUGUGGGUGGAGGAAGCCAACGAGAGGCGCAGGACAGAGAAAUGUUUGCUUUUCUGUUAUGUCAUCGGAGGAGCACUACAGUAGGGCAAACUUGUAUUAUUUCCCUGGGCAAGGAUGAAGCGUCGCGACGACGAUUUUCUUCUGCUUAACAUGUGACACGCACAACUUGGAAUCUCUUCAGCUGUGUGUGAUGUGAUAAUGAAACAUGUUCUCCAGAGGUGAUAAUGUGUUCUGAGAUCAAGUGUAAUUACCAAGUGUCAGGCAUGUGUUUUUGAUAAACAAAUCUGUGAAAACACACAGUUGCAUUAUUUGUUGAGAGUGAGCGUCAUCUGAUUGGCGUUGAUUACAUUUGCAAGCUGCACAAAUAUGUGAUCCUUUUGCUUCCUUAUUUCCCUCUCUUGUCAGAUAUUCACAGAGGAAGAACUAUGUUUUUUUUUUUUCACCAAUCCUGAUGUGUUGUUUCGGUUCAUCUACCACGUCAUCCUUAAAAGUUUCAUUUAAGUGCAUGUAUGAAUGUUAGAAAGGCCCUGAUAUCCAGCAGAGAAAACACAAUGCUUUAAUUAAGAGUCAGUCCGAUUUCCCAGAGGGGAGAUUGUCUUCUUCCAUUAACUUAGUUUAUCAUAUAAUAAAGAGGUUGCCUUGUCCUUCCCUACCCAGACAAUUGGUUUUAAUCAGCCAGCACGUCUUUCAUGGCUGAUAAUUUAUGCUAAAUUGACAAGGGUGGAGGAUAUCACAGAAAAUCAUUAUGACAGUGCUCAGGUCACUGCCUGUCACCAUCUUGUUUUAGCCUGUCCACUGUGCGCAUGGACAACAGCCAAAUUCACAAGUGGGAAAUAAGUGUGAGGGAAAUAUUAGCUCUGGAGACUGCUUAUCUCACCUUUUGAAAAAUAAUUAUCUCAAAUACAUUUUAUGCAUUGUUUGAAAGUUCUGGGCACAUUUUCAUUUGAAGUGAAAUUGAGAUUAUAGGCUAUUAUUAAAUUGAAGGGAUAUGAUGAUUUUUUUGUAGCGUAAACAACACACAGGCAGGCGUCUGUUUUGCAUCUGUCUUGUAAAAAUGAAGUCAGAAGAAAAGCACAGCACACCGGCGACAGAUUAUUCUGCUGAUUGCACGUCUGAGUCCAGAAAUGUCUGUUGUGACUUUGGUUUUUAAGUGCAGGCUGUGCAAGUGUGAAAGUACAAAUUGUGAUUUGAAGUAAGGGGGGGGUGAGAGGAUGAGCACGGGGAGGAAGCUUGAACACAGUUCUCGCCUUGCAAUUUAAUCACUGUAUACCCAGGGAAGUAUUGACAGUUGUCCUGUGGAAGCUAUUAAAGUUGCUGUCCAAGGUUAAAUGAAAUUGCAGUUUAUCAAGGCAGCAUUGAGAAAAUAAGGGAAUCUGUUCAUGGCUGUUGAUUAAUGUGGAGCGUGAUCAACACAAGGGGUUCAUUAAGCUAUACAUCACCAGGGUAAUUUAACAUGUCAUCGCGCCUGCUGUCGCUCCCCUUCACAUGUUUUGUGCAUUGUGUAUGUUUGCUGUGUAUGUGCGAAUCUUUGUGUGAGCGCCGACCUCACGUUCUGAGACGUGGUUGUGCCUGUACGCCUUUGUGUUUGCAUGAUCAAACUUCAAAAUCUCCCCUGUUAUCACUGUAAACCACACAGCAGUGUAAAGAUCUCCCCCGGACACUGAAACGCUAUGUGGGCAUAAUACAAACACAGCAGAGCUGAAGGUGAAAUCCUGCAGAGUGAGUUUUUUUCCAAAAAUGUUGUAAUUUUAGCUCAAAGUAGUAGUAGUUUUUUUUUUGUUUUUUGUUAUUUUAAAUCCUUAUCAUCAUCUCUUCUUAUCCUUUUAUUAGCAUACUGUUCAUUUCAUCACGGCCCUGAUUUGAUCACUUGUAGUUGCACCGCAGCUGACAAGCAUACAUAGAGGUAUGCUAAUCAGGCCUGGGACCUGGAGCUGUUUUUUUUUUUUUUUUCCUGGUGGAUUUGUUUACUGGUGGAUAAUUGAUGGUGCUUGAGGGACAGGCGUGAGUCGGACAUGAAUCAUGGGCGACAGGGCUCAUGAUAAGGAGCUGAAAGUCGCCUGUAAUUAAGCCGGGCACUAGAGACCAAUUGUUUGUAGAAUGAUUUGGUCGGGGCUAAUUGACACUAAUUGUUUAAUCAGAUUUUCUUGCCCUCCAUACUGCAAGCAAGUGUGCUUUACC